GAAGCGGAAGCGGCCCGGCGGGGCGGCUCGGUCCGGCCCCAUUGCCGCCGCGAGCGCCAAACAUGCAACAUGGCAGCAGCCAUGGAAACUGAACAGCCGGGCCUCGAGAUCUUUGAAACUGCAGGCAGAGAGGAGCAGGUCCAGAGGGAGGAACAGCCCAAACUGGAACCUUUCUAUGUAGAGAGACAUUCCUGGAGCCAGCUUCGGAAACUGCUCACAGACACACGGAAGUAUCAUGGCUACAUGAUGGCAAAAGCCCCUCAUGACUUCACGUUUGUGAAGAAAAAUGAUCCUGAAGGACCUCAUUCUGAUAGGAUCUACUAUCUUGCAAUGUCUGGUGAGAACAGGGAGAACACGCUCUUCUACUCUGAGAUUCCCAAAACCAUAAACAAAGCUGCAGCUCUGUUGCUUUCCUGGAAGCCUCUUCUGGAUCUUUUUCCGGCCAUCUUGGACUAUGGGAUGUACUCUCGUGAAGAGGAGUUGCUGCGGGAGAGGAAGCGGAUUGGCACCAUAGGGAUCGCCUCUUAUGAUUACCACCGGGAAAGCGGCACCUUCCUGUUCCAGGCAGGGAGUGGAAUUUAUCAUGUAAAAGAUGGAGGCCCUCAUGGAUUCACUCAACAGCCUUUAAGACCUAUUCUGGUAGAGACCAGUUGUCCAAAUAUCCGCAUGGAUCCCAAGCUUUGUCCAGCUGAUCCAAAUUGGAUUGCAUUUAUCCACAGCAAUGACAUCUGGAUAUCUAAUAUAGAAACAAGAGAAGAAAGGAGGCUAACAUUUGUGCACCAUGAGCUGGCAAAUGUUGAGGAUGAUCCAAAAUCUGCUGGUGUGGCAACUUUUGUGCUGCAGGAGGAGUUUGACAGAUACACUGGCUACUGGUGGAGCCCAAAGGCACAGCCAACACUGAAUGGGGGUAAAGUUCUUCGAAUCCUUUAUGAAGAAAAUGAUGAGUCAGAGGUGGAAAUUAUUCAUGUCACAUCACCCAUGCUGGAGACAAGAAGAACAGAUUCCUUCCGGUACCCCAAAACUGGUACAGCAAAUCCAAAGGUCACUUUCAAGCUCUCAGAAGUGACAAUCAAUGCGGAAGGCAGAAUUGCAGAUGUUGUGGAUAAAGAGCUAGUUCAGCCGUUCGAGAUCCUCUUUGAAGGAGUAGAGUACAUUGCUAGAGCUGGGUGGACGCCAGAAGGAAAAUACAUCUGGUCCAUCUUACUGGAUCGCUCCCAAACUCGACUUCAGAUCGUCCUGAUCCCUCCUGCAUUAUUCAUCCCCACAGAAGAUGAUGCAAUGGAAAGACAGAAACUUAUCGAUGCUGUACCAGAUUCUGUUACACCUUUCAUUAUUUAUGAAGAGACAACAGACAUCUGGAUAAAUAUCCAUGAUAUCUUCUAUGUCUUCCCUCAAACCCAUGAAGAUGAGAUAGAGUUCAUUUUUGCCUCUGAGUGUAAAACAGGAUUCCGGCACCUCUACAAAGUCACCUCGGUUUUGAAGGAGAGCAAAUAUAAGCGGUCUUGUGGAGGCCUCCCUGCUCCAAGUGACUUCAAGUGCCUCAUCAAAGAGGAGAUAGCGAUUACCAGUGGGGAAUGGGAAGUGCUUGGCAGACAUGGAUCCAAUAUCUAUGUUGAUGAAGCCAAAAAACUGGUGUACUUCCAAGGCACAAAAGACUCACCUUUAGAGCAUCACUUGUACGUUGUUAACUACGAGAAUCCAGGAGAAAUAAAGCGGCUGACGGAACGCGGUUACUCUCACGCCUGCUGUGUCAGCCAGGAUUGUGACAUGUUCAUCAGCAAGUACAGUAAUCAGAAGAACCCACACUGUGUGUCACUUUACCGCCUGACAGGACCUGAAGAUGGUGCAGCCCACAGGACAAAGGAAUUCUGGGCUACCAUUUUAGAUUCAGCAGGCCCUCUUCCUGAUUACAUUCCCCCAGAAGUGUUCUCCUUUGAGAGCUCCACGGGAUUUACGCUCUAUGGGAUGAUGUACAAACCUCACAACCUGCAACCUGGAAAGAAGUACCCCACUGUGCUCUUCAUCUAUGGAGGUCCUCAGGUACAGCUCGUGAACAAUCGGUUCAAAGGAAUCAAGUAUUUCCGUUUGAACACUUUGGCCUCUUUAGGCUACGUUGUUGUUGUCAUUGACAACAGGGGGUCCUGCCACCGAGGCCUGAAGUUUGAAGGAGCCUUUAAAUACAAAAUGGGACAAAUAGAAAUCGAUGACCAAGUGGAGGGGCUGCAGUAUUUGGCAUCACAGCAUGACUUCAUUGAUUUGGAUCGUGUUGGCAUUCAUGGCUGGUCCUACGGAGGCUACCUCUCUCUUAUGGCUUUAAUGCAGAGGUUGCCAUUGCUGGAGCACCCGUGACGCUGUGGAUUUUCUAUGACACUGGUUACACAGAGCGCUACAUGGGCCACCCGGAUCACAACGAGCAGGGCUAUUACCUGGGCUCAGUGGCCAUGCAGGCGGAGAAGUUCCCUUCAGAACCGAACCGUUUGCUGCUGCUACAUGGAUUCUUGGAUGAGAAUGUUCACUUUGCACACACUAGUAUUCUGCUCAGUUUCUUGGUGAGAGCUGGGAAACCAUAUGAUUUACAGAUCUACCCUCAGGAGAGACACAGCAUAAGGGUGCCCGAGUCAGGAGAGCACUAUGAACUCCACCUCCUCUAUUACCUGCAAGAGAACCUGGGCUCUCAUAUUGCUGCCCUGAAGGCAAUGUAACUGACCUCUGCAGAACUCUGCUCCGCUGGCUGCUUCACCAGACAAGGAGACAUAGGAAACUAGAGAAAAUAGGAUGGAAUAUUGCAUUCUGGUGCCUGCCACAUGUACACACACAGACACUUUUUUAAGAGCAAAUUUGGUGCCAUACAGGAAAUGAAAGUCUAGUGACCUGAUAACUUGAAAGCUUAAGACGGAAAUAAAAGCAAACGUCUGGGGUAUGACACAGUACCAUGGGUGUUCUCUUGGGGGAGGAGCUGAAGCUGAAACCAACGUAUUUCUACAGCACCAGAUCUUCACUUUUUAAAAGAAUUGUGACACAGUUGACGUAUUUUUACAGUGUGUUCCUUGGUAUCUUAUUACAUAAUACUGGAUGAUUUACUCACUACCCAGCGAGGGUUUACCUAAGUGGUUCCAACUUGUAUUACAUUUAAAUGCUAUCAUAUAGCUUUUAUGCUUCGUGAAAGGGAUGUGUCUCACUCCUUAGAAGCUGGUCACAAGGUAGACACAUCACCUGUCUAGAUGUUAAUUGUUUUUUAAGAAGAAAGACUUAAGCUGCUUCCUAAGGAAUUGAAGUUCUGGAUUCAGUUCAGCUGAUGCCAGGUUCUUUUCAAUGAUUUCCUCUCUCCCCAGGAUAAAUCAUACUCUUCUUUCAGCAGCUUGAAAUCCUAUCCUGAUUGUACUUGAUUUCAGUGGGGAAGUGAAAAGAUAUUUUACUGUGAUACGGGCAUAACAAUCUUUUAUUCUGACAUGCAAACUAAUUUAAGUCAAAGAGCUGAAACUCUGUAGGUUUUAAAAUAAGCUUAAAAGUGCAGCUCAUUUCUCCCUGACAUUUUCCCUGGGGCUGGUUUUUGUAAUACUGUUUCUUCCCAUCAUUUUAGCAUGAUAUAGGUAUAUGCAUCCUGUUACAAUUUUAAAAGUCAGUACUCUAAUUCAAAGGUCUGCAGAGGAUUUGGGGAGGAGAGACCUUAUGAACACUACAUGUGAGGCAAUAUGAACUGCUUCAUUGAAUUUUAAGGGACUAUUUCCCAGGUUUGUUCUCUGUUCAGUGCUCCAGUCCUGGAUCCUUUCUACCACUGCUGUGUAGCAUGAUUACGAUGCUGUAUUUGAGAAACCCCCUUCUGUAUAGCUUCAAGUAACCCUGCUAAGCCUAAAGGAUAUUCAAUCCCAGUUGUGUUUUUGCUAGUCAGGUUUUAACUAAGCAGCAGGCUUGGCUAAAAAGCAUCAUAAGUGUGUGAAGUCACUUUUAACUUGCAACAGGUCGUUUAGGAUAGAAACCCAUAGUAAAAUGAUUCUCUUUAAUCCAGGAAAUUCUCCCCUUGGGGCUUGCCUCUGAGACUCCUAUAAGUUUUAAUGGUUUUCUUAGAAACCUAAGAACUUCCUUUUCUUUCUGUUUUGGUGCUAGAGAGAAGCAGAGCAUGAUUUUCUUUUCAUCUUUUGAAAAUCUGGAAUCACUCUCAGUGUUUACGCUCUUAGUACUCCACAUGUUGUAACCUUGUAUUUUCCUUGCUUUUGUACUCUUCAGCUUGAUCCUGAGACUCCAGGAUUUAACACAACCUGGCUGUUUUGUAUCAAAUUGCAUCGCUUUUCAGUUAGGCUGCUGGGCAUAUGCACCAAAGCUAUUGGAGCUGGUGCACUUAACAUGGUUGUAAAAUCUGUGUGUGAGAAUAGGAUCUGG
Melopsittacus undulatus (budgerigar) is the source of this 4377-nucleotide RNA transcript. It is a transcript of the gene named dipeptidyl peptidase 8, with no coding region annotated. Lineage: Eukaryota; Metazoa; Chordata; Aves; Psittaciformes; Psittaculidae. The transcript is spliced from 20 exons. The record is from RefSeq and is a predicted model, not a curated record.